UACGUAGGGUGCAGGCGUUAAUCGGAAUUACUGGGCGUAAAGCGUGCGCAGGCGGUCUUUUAAGUCAGAUGUGAAAUCCCCGGGCUUAACCUGGGAACUGCGUUUGAAACUGGAAGGCUAGAGUGUGGCAGAGGGGGGUGGAAUUCCACGUGUAGCAGUGAAAUGCGCAGAUAUCAGGAGGAACACCGGUGGCGAAGGCGGGUCUCUGGACAGUUCCUGACGCUGAGGCACGAAGGCCAGGGGAGCAAACGGG
Molecule: ribosomal RNA, 253 nt
Filed under: uncultured bacterium
Lineage: Bacteria
Description: partial 16S ribosomal RNA
Rfam family: Bacterial small subunit ribosomal RNA
Source: RNAcentral